Oncorhynchus gorbuscha (pink salmon) is the source of this 552-nucleotide long non-coding RNA. RefSeq lists it as uncharacterized. NCBI's taxonomy places the organism in Eukaryota, Metazoa, Chordata, Actinopteri, Salmoniformes, Salmonidae. The record is from RefSeq and is a predicted model, not a curated record. The transcript has 4 exons.
ACCCAGCAGAUCCUCAUCCCUGCCGUCAUGGCAGCAGGUUCCUGGCGUGGCCAUCCACGGCUCCGCCCACUAGACGGUUGUCGCGGAAUCUCCCGUAGAGACGCUCCAUCCGGACACAGCAGCCCAGCACACAAACAGCUGGAGGGGGUCUCAGUACAGGGGAGUACUGCAGCAGGGUCAAUCGACCUCUGACCCUAGCCGGGGUCAGGCCACCCAGAGGUCACAGCAGGAGAGGAGCGGAGCUGGGAAGAGGACCAAGGGUCGCCGCGGCAACAACAGAACCACCAGGGGUGUGUCCGGUGUGUCGCUGAUCACCAACGUCAUGCUGACUCCGCCCACCUGCAGUGUGGCAGCCUCUCUCAGCCAAUCAUCAUCUCAGACACGCCCAGCCCGGCGGUCAGCGUCAUCACCAUCCACAGCGACUCAGACGAGGAAGACGAGAGGAAGUUCCACCCCGCCAGCUGUGGUCCGGCUCAGAGGACUAACGUGAUCAGCUGUUUGACGGUCCACGACUCUGACUCCUCCACGGCCAGCCCCCUCACCCCCGCCUCC